Molecule: ribosomal RNA, 310 nt
Filed under: uncultured bacterium
Lineage: Bacteria
Description: SSU rRNA
Rfam family: Bacterial small subunit ribosomal RNA
Source: RNAcentral
ACGAACGCUGGCGGCAGGCCUAACACAUGCAAGUCGAACGAACCCUUCGGGGUGAGUGGCGCACGGGUGCGUAACACGUGGGAAUAUGCCUCUUGGUAAGGAACAACAUCUGGAAACGGGUGCUAAUACCUUAUAAUGACUCCGGUCCAAAGAUUUAUCGCCAAGAGAUUAGCCCGCGCUUGAUUAGAUAGUUGGUGAGGUAAUGGCUCACCAAGUCGACGAUCAAUAGCUGGUCUGAGAGGACGACCAGCCACACUGGAACUGAGACACGGUCCAGACUCCUACGGGAGGCAGCAGUGAGGAAUAUUGG